CCACCACCAAAGCAUUCUCUGGUGUUGAAGGCCCUGCAAAGCAGCAUCGCGGUGGCGGAGCGUCGUUUGCGACGCCCAACACACAAAACAAGCGGUGAAUGCUUUGGGGUGGGGUGACUGCGUACCUUUUGUAUAAUGGGUCAGCGACUUAUAUUCUGUAGCAAGGUUAACCGAAUAGGGGAGCCGGAGGGAAACCGAGUCUUAAUUGGGCGUUAAGUUGCAGGGUAUAGACCCGAAACCCGGUGAUCUAGCCAUGGGCAGGUUGAAGGUUGGGUAACACUAACUGGAGGACCGAACCGACUAAUGUUGAAAAAUUAGCGGAUGACCUGUGGCUGGGGGUGAAAGGCCAAUCAAACCGGGAGAUAGCUGGUUCUCCCCGAAAGCUAUUUAGGUAGCGCCUCGUGAAUUCAUCUCCGGGGGUAGAGCACUGUUUCGGCUAGGGGGCCAUCCCGGCUUACCAACCCGAUGCAAACUGCGAAUACCGGAGAAUGUUAUCACGGGAGACACACGGCGGGUGCUAACGUCCGUCGUGAAGAGGGAAACAACCCAGACCGCCAGCUAAGGUCCCAAAGUCAUGGUUAAGUGGGAAACGAUGUGGGAAGGCCCAGACAGCCAGGAUGUUGGCUUAGAAGCAGCCAUCAUUUAAAGAAAGCGUAAUAGCUCACUGGUCGAGUCGGCCUGCGCGGAAGAUGUAACGGGGCUAAACCAUGCACCGAAGCUGCGGCAGCGAACGUAUCACCCAAGACAACUUUACGGAGUUGACGAUUGACGGAGCGAAGCGACGUCAAAGCGUUCAUUAAAGUCGAGUUGGCUUAGGGAUACGUUCGUUGGGUAGGGGAGCGUUCUGUAAGCCUGUGAAGGUGUGUCGUGAGGCAUGCUGGAGGUAUCAGAAGUGCGAAUGCUGACAUAAGUAACGAUAAAGCGGGUGAAAAGCCCGCUCGCCGGAAGACCAAGGGUUCCUGUCCAACGUUAAUCGGGGCAGGGUGAGUCGACCCCUAAGGCGAGGCCGAAAGGCGUAGUCGAUGGGAAACGGGUUAAUAUUCCCGUACUUGGUGUUACUGCGAAGGGGGGACGGAGAAGGCUAUGUUGGCCGGGCGACGGUUGUCCCGGUUUAAGCGUGUAGGUGUGUGUUCCAGGUAAAUCCGGUUCACUUUAACACUGAGGCGUGACGACGAGGCACUACGGUGCUGAAGCAACAAAUGCCCUGCUUCCAGGAAAAGCCUCUAAGCAUCAGGUAACACGAAAUCGUACCCCAAACCGACACAGGUGGUCAGGUAGAGAAUACCAAGGCGCUUGAGAGAACUCGGGUGAAGGAACUAGGCAAAAUGGUGCCGUAACUUCGGGAGAAGGCACGCUGACACGUAGGUGAAGUGAUUUACUCAUGGAGCUGAAGUCAGUCGAAGAUACCAGCUGGCUGCAACUGUUUAUUAAAAACACAGCACUGUGCAAACACGAAAGUGGACGUAUACGGUGUGACGCCUGCCCGGUGCCGGAAGGUUAAUUGAUGGGGUCAGCGUAAGCGAAGCUCCUGAUCGAAGCCCCGGUAAACGGCGGCCGUAACUAUAACGGUCCUAAGGUAGCGAAAUUCCUUGUCGGGUAAGUUCCGACCUGCACGAAUGGCGUAAUGAUGGCCAGGCUGUCUCCACCCGAGACUCAGUGAAAUUGAACUCGCUGUGAAGAUGCAGUGUACCCGCGGCAAGACGGAAAGACCCCGUGAACCUUUACUAUAGCUUGACACUGAACAUUGAGCCUUGAUGUGUAGGAUAGGUGGGAGGCUUUGAAGUGUGGACGCCAGUCUGCAUGGAGCCGACCUUGAAAUACCACCCUUUAAUGUUUGAUGUUCUAACGUGGACCCGUAAUCCGGGUUGCGGACAGUGUCUGGUGGGUAGUUUGACUGGGGCGGUCUCCUCCUAAAGAGUAACGGAGGAGCACGAAGGUUGGCUAAUCCUGGUCGGACAUCAGGAGGUUAGUGCAAUGGCAUAAGCCAGCUUGACUGCGAGCGUGACGGCGCGAGCAGGUGCGAAAGCAGGUCAUAGUGAUCCGGUGGUUCUGAAUGGAAGGGCCAUCGCUCAACGGAUAAAAGGUACUCCGGGGAUAACAGGCUGAUACCGCCCAAGAGUUCAUAUCGACGGCGGUGUUUGGCACCUCGAUGUCGGCUCAUCACAUCCUGGGGCUGAAGUAGGUCCCAAGGGUAUGGCUGUUCGCCAUUUAAAGUGGUACGCGAGCUGGGUUUAGAACGUCGUGAGACAGUUCGGUCCCUAUCUGCCGUGGGCGCUGGAGAACUGAGGGGGGCUGCUCCUAGUACGAGAGGACCGGAGUGGACGCAUCACUGGUGUUCGGGUUGUCAUGCCAAUGGCACUGCCCGGUAGCUAAAUGCGGAAGAGAUAAGUGCUGAAAGCAUCUAAGCACGAAACUUGCCCCGA
This 2423-nucleotide ribosomal RNA is filed under the name Salmonella enterica subsp. enterica serovar Typhimurium. RNAcentral describes it as "partial 23S ribosomal RNA". It matches the Rfam family "Bacterial large subunit ribosomal RNA". The record is from RNAcentral. Lineage: Bacteria; Pseudomonadati; Pseudomonadota; Gammaproteobacteria; Enterobacterales; Enterobacteriaceae.